Long non-coding RNA from Brassica rapa (field mustard), 1671 nucleotides. RefSeq lists it as uncharacterized. The record is from RefSeq and is a predicted model, not a curated record. Lineage: Eukaryota; Viridiplantae; Streptophyta; Magnoliopsida; Brassicales; Brassicaceae.
GUGGGGUGAAUAAGGCAAAACCAAUUUUCAAAAAAAAGAGAGGUUAGUUUUGUGUUUGACUUUAAGUUGUAGGUCAAUUUUGCAAAAAUCCCAUAAUUAAUAUUGUUGGUGCUAAUCACAAUACUAAAAGCAGCAUAUUCUGUAUCUAGAGAACGCCACGUCCUCAAAAAUAUUCGUCCAAUCAGAAUCAGUUAAUUGUCCACGUCAGAUGGGCCUCACAAUUGUUUUUUAAAUUGGCCCAACUGGACACAAAACACACAAAGAAACACGUCGAAGGAUGACGCUUCGCUUCACCUCUGCCAGUUCGUCUUCUCCAAUUGAAGAGUAAAGAAACCGAGUAGUAAUCGAGCCAAUUCUACACAAUCAAUACGUUCUUAAUGAUUUCAUUCCAUCUCCCUCUUUUUUCCCUCUUUGGAUUUGUCCGAUCGAUUAGAACUUCGUAAUUAGAUCUGAAAUUCGCGAGCUUUAGGUCAACUGGUUUCGUCUCUGUGCAAUUCAAGGAGCUAGCUCAGGCUUAUGAGGUUCUCAGCGAAGCGGAGAAGCGUGAGAUCUAUGAUCUGUACGGUGAGGAUGCGCUCAAGGAAGGAAUUGGUGGUGGAGGCGGUGGUCAUGACCCCUUUGAUAUCUUCUCCUCUUUCUUUGGUGGUGGUGGUGGACACCCUUUCGGAGGUGGCAGCAGCCGUGGAAAGAGGCAGAGGCGUGGUGAAGAUGUUGUUCACCCUCUGAAGGUUUCCCUUGAGGAUCUUUAUCUCGAGACAACGAAGAAGCUCUCGCUUUCUAGGAAGGCUUUGUGCUUAAAGUGUAACGGCUCUUUGUGAUCAAAUCGUAUAGCGAAGAUGAUAUUCACAAAAGCAUCAAAUAUAAUGUGUGGUCCAGUACCUCUAAUGGCAACAAGAAGCUUAACGCUGCGUAUAACGAAGCAGCUGGAGACAAGUCCUCCUGUCCUGUUUUUCUCAUCUUCUCUGUAAACACAAGUGGGCAGUUUGUUGGUUUAGCGGAGAUGGUAUGACCAGUUGAUUAGAACCAGAUGGCGGAGUGCUGGCAGCAGGACAAGUGGGUUGGUUGCUUCCCUGUUAAGUGUCACAUCGUUAAAGAUAUCCUGAAUAGUUCCUUGAGGCAUAUUACGCUUGAGAAUGAUGAGAACAAGCCUGUUACUAAUAGCCAUGAUACACAGGAGGUAAAGAUAGAGCAAGGAGUCAAAGUAAUCAUUUUUUUUAAGGAACAUGUGAGCAAGACAUGCAUACUCAAUGAUUUUGUCUUCUAUGAGAAUUGUGAAAAUAUAAUCAAAGACUGGGAAAAAGAAACACCAACUGUAUAAAAGACAGCAAUCUUUUACUGCCAGUGACAAAAAGGCAACACCAAAAGACAAAUCUAAGGAAACCAGUGUGAUAGCAGAAGUGGCUGAAGAGAUAUCACAAAACAGUGUUGCAGAAGUUGCGAGCACAUGCUGAAUCGCAUGCUGAGUGCAGCAGCAAGCUGCUUACUUUACUUUGGAUGGGUUUUUUUGUCCGUUUUCUCCACCAAAUUUGCUCACUCUUUUCUUAGGAGUUUGGUUUUCUUUUGGUAGUUGGUUUUUGAAGUUGUAGAAGAUAUAUGAGUAAAAAUGAUUUCGAAGGCUAUAUAUAUAUUUCUUUUUCUUAAAAGUUCAAUGCAAAAAUAUAUUUUCUGUAU